RNAcentral lists this ribosomal RNA (490 nucleotides) under uncultured bacterium. RNAcentral's name for it is "partial 16S ribosomal RNA". It matches the Rfam family "Bacterial small subunit ribosomal RNA", at positions 30 to 507 of the family's 1533-position model. The record is from RNAcentral.
AUUGAACGCUGGCGGCAGGCUUAACACAUGCAAGUCGAGCGGUAGCACAGGGGAGCUUGCUCCCUGGGUGACGAGCGGCGGACGGGUGAGUAAUGUCUGGGAAACUGCCUGAUGGAGGGGGAUAACUACUGGAAACGGUAGCUAAUACCGCAUAACGUCGCAAGACCAAAGAGGGGGACCUUCGGGCCUCUUGCCAUCAGAUGUGCCCAGAUGGGAUUAGCUAGUAGGUGGGGUAAUGGCUCACCUAGGCGACGAUCCCUAGCUGGUCUGAGAGGAUGACCAGCCACACUGGAACUGAGACACGGUCCAGACUCCUACGGGAGGCAGCAGUGGGGAAUAUUGCACAAUGGGCGCAAGCCUGAUGCAGCCGUGCCGCGUGUGUGAAGAAGGCCUUCGGGUUGUAAAGCACUUUCAGCGAGGAGGAAGGUGGUGAGCUUAAUACGUUCAUCAAUUGACGUUACUCGCAGAAGAAGCACCGGCUAACUCCGUG